RNAcentral lists this ribosomal RNA (367 nucleotides) under uncultured organism. Its description in RNAcentral is "bacterial LSU rRNA". It matches the Rfam family "Bacterial large subunit ribosomal RNA", at positions 2099 to 2465 of the family's 2925-position model. The record is from RNAcentral.
CUUUACUGUAGCUUUGUAUUGGACUUUGAACAGAUCUGUGUAGGAUAGGUGGGAGGCUUUGAAGUGCGGUCGCUAGAUCGCAUGGAGCCAACGUUGAAAUACCACCCUGGUGUGUUUGAGGUUCUAACCUGGGUCCCUUAUCGGGAUCGGGGACAGUGCAUGGUAGGCAGUUUGACUGGGGCGGUCUCCUCCCAAAGCGUAACGGAGGAGUUCGAAGGUACGCUAGUUACGGUCGGACAUCGUGACGAUAGUGCAAUGGCAUAAGCGUGCUUAACUGCGAGACUGACAAGUCGAGCAGAUGCGAAAGCAGGGCAUAGUGAUCCGGUAGUUCUGUAUGGAAGGGCCAUCGCUCAACGGAUAAAAGGUA